UACGUAGGGUGCGAGCGUUGUCCGGAUUUACUGGGCGUAAAGAGCUCGUAGGUGGUUUGUCGCGUCGUCCGUGAAAUCCCAUGGCUUAACUGUGGGCGUGCGGGCGAUACGGGCAGACUUGAGUACUGCAGGGGAGACUGGAAUUCCUGGUGUAGCGGUGGAAUGCGCAGAUAUCAGGAGGAACACCGGUGGCGAAGGCGGGUCUCUGGGCAGUAACUGACGCUGAGGAGCGAAAGCGUGGGGAGCGAACAGGAUUAGAUA
Molecule: ribosomal RNA, 261 nt
Filed under: uncultured prokaryote
Description: partial 16S ribosomal RNA
Rfam family: Bacterial small subunit ribosomal RNA
Source: RNAcentral